GGUGAACGCUGGCGGCGUGCCUAAUACAUGCGAGUCGAGCGAACAGACGAGGAGCUUGCUCCUCUGACGUUAGCGGCGGACGGGUGAGUAACACGUGGAUAACCUACCUAUAAGACUGGGAUAACUUCGGGAAACCGGAGCUAAUACCGGAUAAUAUAUUGAACCGCAUGGUUCAAUAGUGAAAGACGGUUUUGCUGUCACUUAUAGAUGGAUCCGCGCCGCAUUAGCUAGUUGGUAAGGUAACGGCUUACCAAGGCAACGAUGCGUAGCCGACCUGAGAGGGUGAUCGGCCACACUGGAACUGAGACACGGUCCAGACUCCUACGGGAGGCAGCAGUAGGGAAUCUUCCGCAAUGGGCGAAAGCCUGACGGAGCAACGCCGCGUGAGUGAUGAAGGUCUUCGGAUCGUAAAACUCCGUUAUUAGGGAAGAACAAAUGUGUAAGUAACUAUGCACGUCUUGACGGUACCUAACCAGAAAGCCACGGCUAACUACGUG
RNAcentral lists this ribosomal RNA (497 nucleotides) under uncultured bacterium. RNAcentral describes it as "partial 16S ribosomal RNA". It matches the Rfam family "Bacterial small subunit ribosomal RNA", at positions 28 to 507 of the family's 1533-position model. The record is from RNAcentral.